CUUCUGUAGGGUGAACCUGCGGAGGGUUCAUUACCGAGUUUACAACUCCCAAACCCAAUGUGAACGUUACCAAACUGUUGCCUCGGCGGGGUCACGCCCCGGGUGCGUCGCAGCCCCGGAACCAGGCGCCCGCCGGAGGAACCAACCAAACUCUUUCUGUAGUCCCCUCGCGGACGUAUUUCUUACAGCUCUGAGCAAAAAUUCAAAAUGAAUCAAAACUUUCAACAACGGAUCUCUUGGUUCUGGCAUCGAUGAAGAACGCAGCGAAAUGCGAUAAGUAAUGUGAAUUGCAGAAUUCAGUGAAUCAUCGAAUCUUUGAACGCACAUUGCGCCCGCCAGUAUUCUGGCGGGCAUGCCUGUCCGAGCGUCAUUUCAACCCUCGAACCCCUCCGGGGGAUCGGCGUUGGGGAUCGGGACCCCUCACACGGGUGCCGGCCCCUAAAUACAGUGGCGGUCUCGCCGCAGCCUCUCCUGCGCAGUAGUUUGCACAACUCGCACCGGGAGCGCGGCGCGUCCACGUCCGUAAAACACCCAACUUUCUGAAAUGUUGACCUCGGAUCAGGUAGGACUGCCCGCUGCAUUUAAGCAUAUCAAUAAGCCCGGAGGAA
This 608-nucleotide ribosomal RNA is filed under the name Trichoderma asperellum. RNAcentral describes it as "eukaryotic LSU rRNA". The stretch from base 217 to 370 matches the Rfam family "5.8S ribosomal RNA". Lineage: Eukaryota; Fungi; Ascomycota; Sordariomycetes; Hypocreales; Hypocreaceae. The record is from RNAcentral.